This 495-nucleotide ribosomal RNA is filed under the name uncultured bacterium. RNAcentral's name for it is "partial 16S ribosomal RNA". It matches the Rfam family "Bacterial small subunit ribosomal RNA", at positions 28 to 507 of the family's 1533-position model. The record is from RNAcentral.
GAUGAACGCUGGCGGCGUGCCUAAUACAUGCAAGUAGAACGCUGAAGGAGGAGCUUGCUCUUCUGGAUGAGUUGCGAACGGGUGAGUAACGCGUAGGUAACCUGCCUGGUAGCGGGGGAUAACUAUUGGAAACGAUAGCUAAUACCGCAUGACAACAGUUAUUGCAUGAUAACUGUUUAAAAGGGGCAACUGCUCCACUACCAGAUGGACCUGCGUUGUAUUAGCUAGUUGGUGAGGUAACGGCUCACCAAGGCGACGAUACAGAGCCGACCUGAGAGGGUGGUCGGCCAGACUGGGACGGGGACACGGCCCAGGCGCCUACGGGGGGGAGCAGUAGGGAAGCGUCGGGAAUGGGCGGAAGGCUGGACGAGCAACGCCGCGGGAGUGGAGAAGGUUUUCGGGUCGUAAAGCUCUGUUGUAAGAGAAGAACGAGUGUGAGAGUGGAAAGUUCACACUGUGACGGGAUCUUACCAGAAAGAGACGGCUAACUACGUG